GCCAGGCACGUAGUCUCAGCUGCUUGGGAGACUGAGCUGGGAGGAUCACCUGAGCCCAGGAGUUCUGGGCUGUGUAGUGCGCUAUUUCGAUCGGGUGUCUGCACUAAGUUUGGCAUCAAUAUGGUGUCCUCCUGAAAGCGGGGGACCACCUGGUUGUCUAAGGAGGGUUGAACCGGUCCAGGUCGGACACGAAGCAGGUCAAAAUUCCACUGCUGAUCAGUAGUGGGAUAGUGCCUGUGAAUAAGCACUGGACUCCAACCUGGGCAACAUAGCCAGACCCCCUCUGUU
This is an unclassified non-coding RNA of Callithrix jacchus (white-tufted-ear marmoset), 288 nucleotides long. It matches the Rfam family "Metazoan signal recognition particle RNA". Rfam says of the family: The signal recognition particle (SRP) is a universally conserved ribonucleoprotein. It is involved in the co-translational targeting of proteins to membranes. The record is from Ensembl. NCBI's taxonomy places the organism in Eukaryota, Metazoa, Chordata, Mammalia, Primates, Cebidae.